CCUACGGGAGGCUGCAGUGGGGAAUAUUGGACAAUGGGGGCAACCCUGAUCCAGCCAUGCCGCGUGUGUGAAUAAGGCCCUCGGGUUGUAAAGCACUUUCAGUGAGGAAGAACGCCUGGUGGUUAAUACCCAUCAGGAAAGACAUCACUCACAGAAGAAGCACCGGCUAACUCCGUGCCAGCAGCCGCGGUAAUACGGAGGGUGCGAGCGUUAAUCGGAAUUACUGGGCGUAAAGCGCGCGUAGGUGGCUUGAUAAGCCGGUUGUGAAAGCCCCGGGCUCAACCUGGGAACGGCAUCCGGAACUGUCAAGCUAGAGUGCAGGAGAGGAAGGUAGAAUUCCCGGUGUAGCGGUGAAAUGCGUAGAGAUCGGGAGGAAUACCAGUGGCGAAGGCGGCCUUCUGGACUGACACUGACACUGAGGUGCGAAAGCGUGGGUAGCAAACAGGAUUAGAUACCCGUGUAGUC
This 465-nucleotide ribosomal RNA is filed under the name Vreelandella stevensii. RNAcentral describes it as "partial 16S ribosomal RNA". It matches the Rfam family "Bacterial small subunit ribosomal RNA", at positions 338 to 795 of the family's 1533-position model. Lineage: Bacteria; Pseudomonadati; Pseudomonadota; Gammaproteobacteria; Oceanospirillales; Halomonadaceae. The record is from RNAcentral.